This 301-nucleotide ribosomal RNA is filed under the name uncultured bacterium. RNAcentral's name for it is "partial 16S ribosomal RNA". It matches the Rfam family "Bacterial small subunit ribosomal RNA", at positions 509 to 809 of the family's 1533-position model. The record is from RNAcentral.
CAGUCGCCGCGGGAAUACGGAGGGGGCUAGCGUUGUUCGGAAUUACUGGGCGUAAAGCGCACGUAGGUGGCUUGGUAAGUUAGAGGUGAAAGCCCGGAGCUCAACUCCGGAAUUGCCUUUAAGACUGCCGAGCUAGUAGGUGAGAGAGGUAAGUGGAAUUCCGAGUGUAGAGGUGAAAUUCGUAGAUGUUCGGAAGAACACCAGUGGCGAAGGCGGCUUACUGGCUCAUUCUAGACGCUGAGGUGCGAAAGCGUGGGGAGCAAACAGGAUUAGAUACCCGCGUAGUCCCUGUCUCUUAUAA